GCGGUCGUGGUCUAGAGGCUAUGACGUGUGCUUCACACGCAAAAGAUCCGGAGUUCGAUCCUCGGCGAACGUU
Molecule: non-coding RNA, 73 nt
Organism: Gregarina niphandrodes
Lineage: Eukaryota; Apicomplexa; Conoidasida; Eugregarinorida; Gregarinidae
Source: the annotation of a RefSeq genome assembly